RNAcentral lists this non-coding RNA (84 nucleotides) under Candidatus Kentrum sp. FM. RNAcentral also lists the same sequence under 1 other name. Lineage: Bacteria; Pseudomonadati; Pseudomonadota; Gammaproteobacteria. The record is from RNAcentral.
CGCUAUGGCGGACUUGCACGGGCAACCUUCGGGUUGGCCGUUAUCCUUGGCGGUAUUGCGACCCCGUGUAAGUCCGUCUCCCUA